GAUGCAACACCCCACCCCCUCCUCCAACCCCCCAAUAUCGAGGCAAGUUUCCUCCAGGGGCCACCGUUCCAUUCUUCGGCAAACGGUUCCUGAAAACUGACUUGAAGUUGAUUGAGUUUCAUCAUUCCAUAACCCCCCACUCCCCCCGGGGCCGCCGAAUCAGCCAACGUUUCUUCUCUUUUCCUGUUCAUAUGUACGGAGUAAUUCCUCCCAGAAUCAUAGAUAAACCAUACAUAGCCAGGUCGAGUUUGAUAGAUCGUUGAUCGAUUAGAAACGAAAGAAAAGAAAAGAAAAGAAAAGAAAAGAAAAGACAAUAAAAAAGAGAACCCCAAAGCAGUGCUCGCCCCAUCCCAUCCCAUCCCAUCCCAUCCCUCCUCUUCCUCGCGCCUGCAAAAUCGCAUAAAUCAAAGCC
RNAcentral lists this small RNA (412 nucleotides) under Histoplasma ohiense. RNAcentral describes it as "hypothetical lncRNA". The record is from RNAcentral. Lineage: Eukaryota; Fungi; Ascomycota; Eurotiomycetes; Onygenales; Ajellomycetaceae.